UGGGGAAUAUUGGGCAAUGGGCGAAAGCCUGACCCAGCAACGCCGCGUGAAGGAUGAAGUAUUUCGGUAUGUAAACUUCGUAAGAAUAGGAAGAAUAAAUGACGGUACUAUUUGUAAGGUCCGGCUAACUACGUGCCAGCAGCCGCGGUAAUACGUAGGGACCAAGCGUUGUUCGGAUUUACUGGGCGUAAAGGGCGCGUAGGCGGUUGUGCAAGACCGAUGUGAAAUCCCCGAGCUUAACUUGGGAAUUGCAUUGGUGACUGCACGGCUAGAGUGUGUCAGAGGGGGGUAGAAUUCCACGUGUAGCAGUGAAAUGCGUAGAGAUGUGGAGGAAUACCGAUGGCGAAGGCAGCCCCCUGGGAUAACACUGACGCUCAUGCACGAAAGCGUGGGGAGCAAACAGGAUUAGAUACCCGAGUAGUCCCUGAGCGGGCUGGCAAGGCGCAU
Molecule: ribosomal RNA, 447 nt
Filed under: uncultured bacterium
Lineage: Bacteria
Description: bacterial SSU rRNA
Rfam family: Bacterial small subunit ribosomal RNA
Source: RNAcentral